This 628-nucleotide ribosomal RNA is filed under the name uncultured Alphaproteobacteria bacterium. RNAcentral's name for it is "bacterial SSU rRNA". It matches the Rfam family "Bacterial small subunit ribosomal RNA", at positions 90 to 753 of the family's 1533-position model. Lineage: Bacteria; Pseudomonadati; Pseudomonadota; Alphaproteobacteria. The record is from RNAcentral.
UGUCAGCGGCAGACGGGUGAGUAACACGUGGGAACGUACCCUUUGGUUCGGAAUAACGCUGGGAAACUAGCGCUAAUACCGGAUACGCCCUUUUGGGGAAAGGCUUGCUGCCGAAGGAUCGGCCCGCGUCUGAUUAGCUAGUUGGUGGGGUAAUGGCCUACCAAGGCGACGAUCAGUAGCUGGUCUGAGAGGAUGAUCAGCCACACUGGGACUGAGACACGGCCCAGACUCCUACGGGAGGCAGCAGUGGGGAAUAUUGGACAAUGGGCGCAAGCCUGAUCCAGCCAUGCCGCGUGAGUGAUGAAGGCCUUAGGGUUGUAAAGCUCUUUUGUCCGGGACGAUAAUGACGGUACCGGAAGAAUAAGCCCCGGCUAACUUCGUGCCAGCAGCCGCGGUAAUACGAAGGGGGCUAGCGUUGCUCGGAAUCACUGGGCGUAAAGGGCGCGUAGGCGGCCAUUCAAGUCGGGGGUGAAAGCCUGUGGCUCAACCACAGAAUUGCCUUCGAUACUGUUUGGCUUGAGUAUGGUAGAGGUCGGUGGAACUGCGAGUGUAGAGGUGAAAUUCGUAGAUAUUCGCAAGAACACCAGUGGCGAAGGCGGCCGACUGGACCAUUACUGACGCUGAGGCG